UUUCUUCCUUGCUUAUUUUCAACAUUGGUUUGAAUUUUUUCUAUUUCCACCAUUCAAGUUACAUGUACUAAUCCUAUUUAUGUCAAGAAUCUAGCUGUAUUUCGCGUGCGAUUAGUCUCUUUCAAUCAUUAAAUUUUCAGGAUGUGAUAAUGACCUAGCAAUAAGAGCCGUCAAGUAUGUGCUAGAUCAUUCACCCAUAUUCAACUUGCACUCACAUUACAAAAUUAAUGAUAAUUUCUUUCACUAAUAAGAAGGUUCACUAUUGUCUAAUAGUGCUAAGUAAAGAAGGUGACAACAAGUUUGAAAUGGUAGCUAGUGUAGUAUCUUCUAUCUUUUCUAUAAUGAUUCUGGUUAAAAACAAUUAUGAAUUAUAAAUGUUAACCCUAUUUUUG
RNAcentral lists this unclassified non-coding RNA (392 nucleotides) under Hevea brasiliensis (rubber tree). The record is from RNAcentral. Lineage: Eukaryota; Viridiplantae; Streptophyta; Magnoliopsida; Malpighiales; Euphorbiaceae.